Molecule: ribosomal RNA, 253 nt
Filed under: uncultured bacterium
Lineage: Bacteria
Description: partial 16S ribosomal RNA
Rfam family: Bacterial small subunit ribosomal RNA
Source: RNAcentral
UACGUAGGGGGCAAGCGUUGUCCGGAUUUAUUGGGCGUAAAGAGCGUGUAGGCGGCCAGGUAGGUCAGCUGUGAAAACUCGAGGCUCAACCUCGAGACGUCGGCGGAAACCAUCUGGCUAGAGUCCGGAAGAGGAGAGUGGAGUUCCUGGUGUAGCGGUGAAAUGCGCAGAUAUCAGGAAGAACACCCGUGGCGAAGGCGGCUCUCUGGGACGGUACUGACGCUGAGACGCGAAAGCGUGGGGAGCGAACAGG